UUGUGAGAGAAAAAUACUGUUGGC
This 24-nucleotide microRNA is filed under the name Sorghum bicolor (sorghum). RNAcentral's name for it is "sbi-miR6235-5p". Lineage: Eukaryota; Viridiplantae; Streptophyta; Magnoliopsida; Poales; Poaceae. The record is from miRBase by way of RNAcentral.